UCUAAUGUGGCAGACUAGUGCAAUGAAUUUAAGAUUCAUUUAUAAAUUUAAAUUUUUUUAGAA
Molecule: transfer RNA, 63 nt
Filed under: Atkinsoniella zizhongi
Lineage: Eukaryota; Metazoa; Arthropoda; Insecta; Hemiptera; Cicadellidae
Description: Atkinsoniella sp. 1 YJ-2022a tRNA-Leu
Source: RNAcentral